GACUACUGGGGCUCAGGAACUCUGGUCACCGUCUCCUCAGUCACUGUCAAGCCCCCGGACGUGUUCUCCAUCAUCUCAGGGUGCAAAGCCCCAAAGGAAGACAGCAUCAUGGACCUGGCAUGCUUGGUGACUGGAUAUGUCCCAGAACCGGUGAAGGUCACCUGGCACUCAGAGGCACAGGGCCAGAUCCAGAAGACCUUCCCCUCAGUAAGGAUCGGUGAAUUAUACACCUUGACCAGCCUUCUCUCCUUCCCUGCCUCGGAAUGGAAAGACAAACACCACAGAUGCAUCAUCAACCACUAUGAGACCAAUAAGAACAUAAAUGAGACUUUCCAGUUGCCAGCAUCAUGGAAUGCUCAGGCCUCCCCGGUGCCCACUGUACCACCCAGAGCAGAGAAGGGUUCCACUGAGACCACCAAAAUCAACACUGCCACCACCACUGGGGGCACAGAGUGUUCAAGCCACCCCUGCCCUCCCCACAUCUACCUGCUGCACCCUCCCCUGAAGGACCUGUGGUUGAAGGAGGAGGCCAUCUACACCUGCUUUGUGGUGGGAGAUGACCUUCAGAAGGCCCACCUAUCCUGGAAGGUGGCUGGGGUACCCCAAACCCACAGUGUGAAGGAAGAGUCACUGAAACAGCUGGUCAAUGGCUCCCAGAGUAUGAGCAGUCACUUGACCCUGACCAGGUCCAUGUGGAACAAGGGAACUCCUGUCUACUGCACACUGACCCAUCCCAGCCUAGUGUCUCACAAGGUGUUGACAGCACUGAAGGAACAAGGUUCCAAGGCUCCCAGCAGCCUCUCCAUCAGCCUUCUCAGCAUGUCGGUCCCUGCAGAGACAGCCUCAUGGCUGCUGUGUGAGGUGUCUGGCUUCUCUCCUCCAGACAUCCUCCUGAUGUGGCUGGAAGAUAAGAGAGAGGUGAAUCCUUCCUGGUUUGCCUCCACACACCCCAUGGCCCAGGCUGGGAACAAGACAUUCCGGAGCUGGAGUAUCCUGCGCCUCCCAGCCACUGCCGGGACUUCUCCGGCCACUUACACAUGUGUGGUGAGGCACGAGGCCUCCCGGACCAUGCUCAAUGCCAGCAAGAUCCUGGACACUGUUGAUGAGUCAUACCCAGGACCAGUCACCACCAAGCCCCUUACCCCACACAGCAAGGAUGAGAACAGCGAUGACUACACAGACCUGGAGGAGGAGGGCGGCCUGUGGCCCACCCUGUGCACCUUCGUGGCGCUCUUCCUCCUCACGUUGCUUUACAGUGGCUUUGUCACCUUCAUCAAGGUCAAGUAGCCCCAGGAGAGAAGUCUUCCUGCAGAUGCACAGAAGGGAUGCUUGGCUUCAAUGAGGGGGUGUAUGAAGAGGACCCACCCCGGGCACCCUGUAGUGAAAUUCUCCA
Molecule: non-coding RNA, 1393 nt
Organism: Castor canadensis (American beaver)
Lineage: Eukaryota; Metazoa; Chordata; Mammalia; Rodentia; Castoridae
Source: the annotation of a RefSeq genome assembly